RNAcentral lists this ribosomal RNA (457 nucleotides) under uncultured bacterium. RNAcentral describes it as "bacterial SSU rRNA". It matches the Rfam family "Bacterial small subunit ribosomal RNA", at positions 29 to 507 of the family's 1533-position model. The record is from RNAcentral.
AUUGAACGCUGGCGGAAUGCUUUACACAUGCAAGUCGAGCGGCAGCGCGGGGCAACCUGGCGGCGAGCGGCGAACGGGUGAGUAAUGCAUCGGAACGUACCCCGUCGUGGGGGAUAACUACCCGAAAGGGUAGCUAAUACCGCAUACGACCUGAGGGUGAAAGCGGGGGACCGAAAGGCCUCGCGCGAUGGGAGCGGCCGAUGCCGGAUUAGCUAGUUGGUAGGGUAAAGGCCUACCAAGGCGACGAUCCGUAGCUGGUCUGAGAGGACGACCAGCCACACUGGAACUGAGACACGGUCCAGACUCCUACGGGAGGCAGCAGUGGGGAAUAUUGGACAAUGGGCAAAAGCCUGAUCCAGCAAUGCCGCGUGAGUGAUGAAGGCCUUAGGGUUGUAAAGCUCUUUUACCAGGGAUGAUAAUGACAGUACCUGGAGAAUAAGCUCCGGCUAACUCCGUG